AUGGAGUUGAGUUUGUCUCAUAUGUUACGUCUUUUUAAUGUCUUUCGUGAAAAUGAUGGGAAGGAAAAUUGUGCUCAAGUACUAGAAGAAGAAUUACAUAGAAUGCUUGGCAUAAAAUAUGUGAAUGAUGAGGAUGAUUGCAAUGUUGUUAGUAUGAACUCCUUGAAUAUCCAUGAUGCUAAUGAUAUGCAAAGCCACAAGCUUGGGGAAGCUAUGUUUGAUGAAGAUGAUAUUUUUUGUCCCCCAAGCUUUGAUGAGCAAAUUUACUAUGAUGAAAGCAUGCCUCCUAUCUAUGAUGAUUAUUGUGAUGACACAUAUGCUUCAAAGAAUAAUGAUAACCAUGAAACUUGUCAUCUUGAUCUUAAUUUUCAAUCACAUGAUAGUUAUUUUGUUGAGUUUGCUCCCACUACUAUUCAUGAGAAGAAUUUUGCUUAUGUGGAGAGUAGUAAAAUUUCUAUGCUAGUAGAUCAUGAAAAGAAUGCUUUAGGUGCUGGUUAUAUUGUUGAAUUUAUUCAUGAUGCUACUGAAAAUUAUUAUGAGGGAGGAACAUAUGCUUGUGGGAAUUGCAAUAAUAUCAAAGUUUCCUCUCUAUGUGCUUAA
RNAcentral lists this ribosomal RNA (600 nucleotides) under Triticum aestivum (bread wheat). Its description in RNAcentral is "partial small subunit ribosomal RNA". The record is from RNAcentral. Lineage: Eukaryota; Viridiplantae; Streptophyta; Magnoliopsida; Poales; Poaceae.